AUACGAAGGGUGCAAGCGUUAAUCGGAAUUACUGGGCGUAAAGCGCGCGUAGGCGGCCAGGUAAGUCGGAUGUGAAAGCCCCGGGCUCAACCUGGGAAUUGCAUUCGAAACUGCCUGGCUAGAGUAUGGUAGAGGGAAGCGGAAUUCCACAUGUAGCGGUGAAAUGCGUAGAUAUGUGGAGGAACACCAGUGGCGAAGGCGGCUUCCUGGACCAAUACUGACGCUGAGGUGCGAAAGCGUGGGGAGCAAACAGGAUUAGAAACCCUUGUAGUCC
Molecule: ribosomal RNA, 274 nt
Filed under: uncultured bacterium
Lineage: Bacteria
Description: partial 16S ribosomal RNA
Rfam family: Bacterial small subunit ribosomal RNA
Source: RNAcentral